AGUCGAGCGAGCUUGCCUAGAUGAUUUUAGUGCUUGCACUAAAUGAAACUAGAUACAAGCGAGCGGCGGACGGGUGAGUAACACGUGGGUAACCUGCCCAAGAGACUGGGAUAACACCUGGAAACAGAUGCUAAUACCGGAUAACAACACUAGACGCAUGUCUAGAGUUUGAAAGAUGGUUCUGCUAUCACUCUUGGAUGGACCUGCGGUGCAUUAGCUAGUUGGUAAGGUAACGGCUUACCAAGGCAAUGAUGCAUAGCCGAGUUGAGAGACUGAUCGGCCACAUUGGGACUGAGACACGGCCCAAACUCCUACGGGAGGCAGCAGUAGGGAAUCUUCCACAAUGGACGAAAGUCUGAUGGAGCAACGCCGCGUGAGUGAAGAAGGGUUUCGGCUCGUAAAGCUCUGUUGGUAGUGAAGAAAGAUAGAGGUAGUAACUGGCCUUUAUUUGACGGUAAUUACUUAGAAAGUCACGGCUAACUACGUGCCAGCAGCCGCGGUAAUACGUAGGUGGCAAGCGUUGUCCGGAUUUAUUGGGCGUAAAGCGAGUGCAGGCGGUUCAAUAAGUCUGAUGUGAAAGCCUUCGGCUCAACCGGAGAAUUGCAUCAGAAACUGUUGAACUUGAGUGCAGAAGAGGAGAGUGGAACUCCAUGUGUAGCGGUGGAAUGCGUAGAUAUAUGGAAGAACACCAGUGGCGAAGGCGGCUCUCUGGUCUGCAACUGACGCUGAGGCUCGAAAGCAUGGGUA
RNAcentral lists this ribosomal RNA (747 nucleotides) under Lactobacillus johnsonii. RNAcentral's name for it is "bacterial SSU rRNA". It matches the Rfam family "Bacterial small subunit ribosomal RNA", at positions 60 to 767 of the family's 1533-position model. The record is from RNAcentral. Lineage: Bacteria; Bacillati; Bacillota; Bacilli; Lactobacillales; Lactobacillaceae.